Non-coding RNA from Pogona vitticeps (central bearded dragon), 483 nucleotides. NCBI's taxonomy places the organism in Eukaryota, Metazoa, Chordata, Lepidosauria, Squamata, Agamidae. The record is from RefSeq and is a predicted model, not a curated record.
CAACAAAUAGGGCUAUCAGUCAUUUCAGGAGAAGGAAAGGGGAGGGAAGCAAUUUUUACUGCUCCCUAAUAUCUCUGCUGGAUGCUUCAUCGUCUCCCAUCAUUGUCAGUGCUUCCAUGAUCACGAGUCUAACCAAAUAUUCCAGAAUAUGUCAUCUCAGAGCCAUCUUGGGGAAUAUUACAACUGGGUGGAUGGCUGUGAAUUUAUAAAGCCUGCAGACCAGAGCAUGUGCUGGCACUAAGGAGAGACUUCACUACAACAAGAAAUGCUCCUCAUACUGCACAUCCUAAGGAGAGCUUCUGAUCAUGCCAUUCCAAAUCAGACUGUGAUCAAGCAGAAGACAACUGGCCAAAUCAGCUGGGUAGCUUGAAGGACCAAUUACUAUGGAUGUUUGCCACUGAAAAUACGUCAUUAUGAACCAUCUGUGCAUCGUCUUCAAGAUGAUCCUCCAUCCUGUCAACUAGAACUAAUAAAAAUCCAAUA